This 433-nucleotide ribosomal RNA is filed under the name uncultured bacterium. RNAcentral's name for it is "partial 16S ribosomal RNA". It matches the Rfam family "Bacterial small subunit ribosomal RNA", at positions 29 to 507 of the family's 1533-position model. The record is from RNAcentral.
AGCGAACGCUGGCGGCAGGCCUAACACAUGCAAGUCGAACGAACUCUUCGGAGUUAGUGGCGGACGGGUGAGUAACACGUGGGAACGUGCCUUUUGGUUCGGAAUAACUCAGGGAAACUUGUGCUAAUACCGAAUGUGCCCUUCGGGGGAAAGAUUUAUCGCCAUUAGAGCGGCCCGCGUCUGAUUAGCUAGUUGGUGAGGUAACGGCUCACCAAGGCGCCGAUCAGUAGCUGGUCUGAGAGGAUGACCAGCGACACUGGGACUGAGACACGGCCCAGACUCCUACGGGAGGCAGCAGUGGGGAAUCUUGCGCAAUGGGGGAAAGCCUGACGCAGCCAUGCCGCGUGAAUGAUGAAGGUCUUAGGAUUGUAAAAUUCUUUCACCGGGGACGAUAAUGACGGUACCCGGAGAAGAAGCCCCGGCUAACUUCGUG